AACGAACGCUGGCGGCAGGCUUAAUACAUGCAAGUCGAACGCCCCGCCAGGGGAGUGGCAGACGGGUGAGUAACGCGUGGGGAUCUACCCAUCCCUACGGAAUAACGCAUGGAAACGUGUGCUAAUACCGGAUACGCCCUACGGGGGAAAGGUUUAUCGGGGAUGGCUGAGCCCGCGUUGGAUUAGCUAGUUUGUGGGGUAAAGGCGUCCCAACGCGACAAUCCAUAGCUGGUCUGAGAGAAUGAUCAGCCACAUUGGGACUGAGACACAGCCCAAAAUCCUACGGGAGGGAGCAGUGGGGAAUAGUGGACAAUGGGCGCAAGGCUGAUCCAGCCAUGCCGCGUGAGUGAUGAAGGCCUUAGGGUAGUAAAGCUCUUUCAACGGAGAAGAUAAUGACGGUAUCCGGAGAAGAAGCCCCGGCUAACUUCGUG
Molecule: ribosomal RNA, 431 nt
Filed under: uncultured bacterium
Lineage: Bacteria
Description: partial 16S ribosomal RNA
Rfam family: Bacterial small subunit ribosomal RNA
Source: RNAcentral